RNAcentral lists this ribosomal RNA (424 nucleotides) under Leucascus flavus. RNAcentral describes it as "partial large subunit ribosomal RNA". Lineage: Eukaryota; Metazoa; Porifera; Calcarea; Clathrinida; Leucascidae. The record is from RNAcentral.
UAAAAGCACGUGAAGCCGUUGAAAGGGAAACGCGCUCGGCUAGCAAUGUGCCACGACGGUUCAGCCGUUUUGAGGGGUGAGGUGGUCGUUGUCGGAUCCGAAUGGACCGCGGCGGUCGCCGUCGCCCUUCGAAACACGGUGCACUCUUUCGUGGUACGCGUCAGCGUCGGUUCGCGGCGAGUGACAAGGCUCGGUGGAAGGUAGCUCGAGGCUUGCCUUGAGUGUUACAGCCGCCGGUGCUGGGCUCACCGCGGACCGAGGAGAGAGAGUAUCUUUGCAGCGCAUGCCGCAAGGCUAGCUGCCCGCCGCCCGGUUCGUUCCACUCGCCSAGGACUGCACGCAGUGCUUGGCUUGGCGGAGUGGCCUGGUGGUGGUGUCGGUAUAAAUGCGCUCAGGACGCUGGCGUCCAAAUGGCCGUGCGCGA